GGGGCCAUAGCUCAGCUGGGAGAGCGCGUCUCUGGCAGGGACGAGGUCGCCGGUUCGAGCCCGGCUGGCUCCA
RNAcentral lists this transfer RNA (73 nucleotides) under Actinomycetes bacterium. Its description in RNAcentral is "Actinobacteria bacterium tRNA-Ala". It matches the Rfam family "tRNA". Rfam says of the family: Transfer RNA (tRNA) molecules are approximately 80 nucleotides in length. Their secondary structure includes four short double-helical elements and three loops (D, anti-codon, and T loops). Further hydrogen bonds mediate the characteristic L-shaped molecular structure. tRNAs have two regions of fundamental functional importance: the anti-codon, which is responsible for specific mRNA codon recognition, and the 3' end, to which the tRNAs corresponding amino acid is attached (by aminoacyl-tRNA synthetases). tRNAs cope with the degeneracy of the genetic code in two manners: having more than one tRNA (with a specific anti-codon) for a particular amino acid; and 'wobble' base-pairing, i.e. permitting non-standard base-pairing at the 3rd anti-codon position. RNAcentral also lists the same sequence under 2 other names. Lineage: Bacteria; Bacillati; Actinomycetota; Actinomycetes. The record is from RNAcentral.